UCGGACGGUUCAGAUCAAACGCGAUGAACGGUCCAGAUUAAAUGGAGAUGAAUAUAAAUAACCCUUUUCACACCAAACCCUAACCCUAGCCGCCGGACACCCUUGUCGAAGAAGAAGACCCAACCGUCGGGAAGGAGAGUUGCCGCCACCCGUCGCUGCACUAGAGCCCUUUUCGAUCGCAAAAAGAGGUAAAAAAAAUUUAUUUGCUCGGAAUU
Molecule: long non-coding RNA, 215 nt
Filed under: Carica papaya (papaya)
Lineage: Eukaryota; Viridiplantae; Streptophyta; Magnoliopsida; Brassicales; Caricaceae
Description: long non-coding RNA (CPAP_LNC010267)
Source: RNAcentral